AAGUCGUAACAAGGUUUCCGUAGGUGAACCUGCGGAAGGAUCAUUACAGAGUUCAUGCCCUUCGGGGUAGAUCUCCCACCCUUGUGUAUCAUUAUAGAAUGUUGCUUUGGCGGGCCGCGUGCCUAGCACGCCUCGAUUCGCGUCGAGCGUGUCCGCCAGAGGACCCCUAAACUUUGAAUGUUAGUGUCGUCUGAGUACUAUUAAAUAGUUAAAACUUUCAACAACGGAUCUCUUGGUUCUG
RNAcentral lists this unclassified non-coding RNA (241 nucleotides) under Lachnum sp. Its description in RNAcentral is "partial contains small subunit ribosomal RNA, internal transcribed spacer 1, and 5.8S ribosomal RNA". The stretch from base 1 to 46 matches the Rfam family "Eukaryotic small subunit ribosomal RNA", at positions 1786 to 1831 of the family's 1831-position model. The record is from RNAcentral. Lineage: Eukaryota; Fungi; Ascomycota; Leotiomycetes; Helotiales; Lachnaceae.